Molecule: long non-coding RNA, 6677 nt
Organism: Musca domestica (house fly)
Lineage: Eukaryota; Metazoa; Arthropoda; Insecta; Diptera; Muscidae
Exons: 3
Source: RefSeq, a predicted model, not a curated record
CCACGGCCUGAUAGAGAGGUGACACAGAACUUUUUAAGCUGCCAUCUUAUGUAUCGAUUCAUCAAAAUGGGUUCAUCAUCUCCCAACGAUUCUACUUGGCCUUCGUGUGAUGUACAAAUCAGACAUAAAAGCGUUAAGGUUCCCAGGAGAAUUUUUCUUAAAAAUCAAAUCUACAAGCACUAGCGAUGUAGUAGCUGAUUUUCGCAACGCCAUGAGAAAUAUUCAAUCUAUGCAAACUGCACACCACUCUGCAAAGUCAACAUUUGUUUCUAGAGACUUCUAGUCAACAACACACGUUUUUGUUCGAAACGACUCAAUCCGUCCUACUCUGACUCAUCCCUACGAUGUCCCGUAUUUCGUUUUAAAACGAUUCCCGAGGUUCUUCACAAUUGUAAUACGGGGUCGAAAAACAAAAGUCAGCAUCGAUCGUUUAAAGCCCCUUUUUCUGCCAGCGUCAGAAUCUUCUAGCUCAACCGAGCAAACAGCAACUAUACCUUUGACAAAUGAUCCCGUGCCUAGCACUUCAAACAUUUUUGAAGAAGCUUCUACUGCUGAUUCAACUUUCAGCUCUCCGAUUCCAGAUUGUUCUUCCGGUGCCACAUAUUCGUCUGAUACAUCACUCACUCAGUCACCUCAGUAUAUCAUCAAAGCUACAACUUGUGGAAGACGCAUCAAGCUCCCGGUAGCUCCCUUUUCUAGCGAGGGGAGUGAUGUGGCAACCUUCAAUCACAAUUUACUGGUUAUAGAAUUUUCUCCUUUUCCUGUCGGCAGCGCUGCAGUGCACACCAUAUUUCUCAUCUACGCAUUUCUAAAUUAAGUUUGUUAAUUUAAGUUUAAGGUUAAUUUAAUAAAAAUGUUUUAAUUCAAUGGUAAUUAAAAUCCGUGUUAGCCUUGUUUUAUUGGGUAAUAAAGUAAACGAAUAGAAAUACCCAAAUAUAUCUGGUGGCUCGUUUAUCAAUCGUGGCUCGAAUGGACCAAAUGUUACUAUUAGAGUGAAUCCGGCUCGAAACGAUCAAAUGUUAAUACGAUCCGAUAAAGGGGAGAAAAAAUAAUACAACACUAUCCCUUUAGUUUCUUACUCAAUUAAAUAUAUGAUUCUUUAUUAAGGUUCCAAUCAAUAGGUUACGAAAUUUUACCUCAAUAAUUACAAAGGAACGUGUAAUGUUACAAUAUUGAGCACGAACACUCAAUCAAUAACCAAAACGGAAUCAUCAAGACAGACUGAAGUUUUUGGACAUCACGGACUUAGGCACAAUGGAUAUUUCAACGGGGUUUGGUGUUGGAUGGACACAUCACAGGCAGGACUAAAUUUGCUGCCGUUCCAGUUGUCAGUUCACUUGACUUGGACUAAACCUUGCCUUGGAAACAAUUAAUUCCGCCAAGGAAUUCAGGAUAAAUUUUUGGCUGACCUCCACCGUUCAUACAAUCGGAGGGGUCAGAGAUGGUUUUAACGGUUGGUGUAAAUUUUGGCGUUGCCUAAACAAUAUACAAAAGGACACACAAACAUUUAAACACCAAUAAUAUAAUACAAUACAACACAAUACUCACUUUGACUUGUUCGCACAAACGCAUUCACACACAACAACAAAACACAUGUGUUAAUUAAACACAAAAACAAAAUUUAGUUUAAUUUUUUGGGAGAUUUUCUUCAAAUAUUUUUUAAUUAGCAAAUAAAAAUGUGUUCUUUGCUAAUACACCAAACAAACUGCCUCGAUUUUCCCCCGUUAUGCCUUUUAUAUGGCCGCAGACAUUUACAAUUUUCCGGGAUUCUCACGCAAUUUUCCUGAUUCAUCAAAUUCCUUUUAUCGUACAUACUGAGCCCUACAUUAGAGUUGUAUUUCUCGGGUUUAUAUUUUACACCGGUUGGCAACACUGAUUUCUUCAAACUCUGCACCGAGCUUAACAUAUCCGGUUCACUUUUUCCUGACCGGCUGCAACCAAACACAUCACAUCAGGGACUUGCUGCUAAUUAUUUGUUUUUAAUUAAAAUAAAAAACACAUGCAACAAACUGUGUUAGCCUUAUUUUAUUGGGUAACAACGUAAACGAAUAGAAAUAACCAAAUUUGUGACCCCGAGAAAAAAUUGCAAUCAGAAGAUGGAAAACAACGAUUUAUCAACAGCAUCGACUGUCGUCAUCCAAAAUGAAAAAGAUCCGCAAUCCUUGCGUAACAGCAUAGGCAGUAUCAGCCAUUUACAUUGCACGUUUGCCAUUUCAAGAAAUGUGAUAUACAAAUGUGGAAGCUUGGUUUAUUUCAAUGGAAUUUUGCUUUAGUACGUCGGGCAUAACCUAUGACAAGCAAAAGGCCGCUACAGUACUUGCUGCUUUAAAGCCAGAAACCAUUGCACAAUUGUCAGACAUCAUCGCAAAUAUGCCAGCAUCCGAUCGAUUCGAAUACGUCAAAUGAAAAAUUACCGACCAUUUUGCCGACAGCGAACAGAGACGUCCAAACCGGCUUUUGCCCGAAAUGCCUUUGGGCGACAAAAAAAAACCUUCCGAGCUCUUCUUUGAGAGCAGGUAACUCAAGUGGAAAAGCUGCACUUAAAGGUUUGUGGACGAAACGAUUCCCAACAUUUGCACAACCUGUUGUAGCAGCGUCAACGGGCACAAUAGUGGAAUUAACCAAAAAGUAGACUCAACUGCAGACGCUGUCUCUCCAACAUAGGUAUGUAAGGUCACAAAAGACGAGGACAGCCGCAUAAACGAACGAACUAAAAUUCGAGCAAUUUACUACGUGGUCCUGUUCUCGACCUCGCAAGCUAACUCAUCAUCGUUCCCAGUCCCGGCGAAAGCCAUCCGAUGGAAAUAACAAUUCCAAUAUUGAUGAGUGUUGGUACCACAAGAAGUAUGGGUGCAAUGCCACAAAGUGUCGCAGUCCGUGCAAACAGAAGCAGCGACAGGUGUUCGCUGUUGCGUCGCACCCAUCAAAUUGACCUUGUUGGCCGGUGGUGGGUUACAGCGAAAAAUCCUCCACCAAAUGUCAAUUUUUUCGCCUCCAAGUUACUGACAGCUGGACUCGAAGAAAUUUUCUGGUUGACAAUGAUGCCGACGUCUCCGUCAUUCCUCUUUCUUUGAAAGUAUAUCACCGAUUAGAGUGGUAGGUGAAACACGUUUAAAGCUGGACCUUGGUUUAAAACAAAAUAUAUUUAUAAUUGCGGGUGUAAACACGCCGAUAAUUGUUUCGGAUUUCAUUAAGCAUCAUGAUCUGCAGAUUGAUUUGCGUCGUAACCGAUUAAUAGACAACAUCACUGGUAACGAUUCUCAGCUACAACUACCGUCGACUUCAACGAUUGUCUGCCUUAAAACGUUGCGCACGAAUAACCCGUUUGCGGAUCUUUUAGAGGGAUUUCAGGACAUAACAUUACGGUUCCAAAACGAAAUCAACCAUUUUUAUGCGAAUUGAAACGACUGGCCGGCCAACAUUUUGUCGUCCUCGAAGAUUGCUAGUUGAAAAACAUGUAGCUGCAAAAAAAGAAUCCAAUUUCCUUGCCGAAGCUGGAAUUGGUCAGUCGUCCAAAGCGUCUGGAGUAGUCGGCUAUGGUAAGAAAAAGUGAUGGAACAUGGAAACCAUGUGGUGACUAUUAUGCCCUUAAUGCUUAAACUUUACCAGACCAGUACCCCCUUCCAUAUUUGGCCGAUUUCACCAACAAUUUAAGUAGCCAGAAAAUAUUUUCGAAAAUCGAUCUGCAAAAAACAUUUCAUAAAAUUUCGAUUCGCCCGAUGACGUUUUCAGAGAUGUUGAUUGUGUUUUCCGUACGUUGAUGAUAUUUUCGUUUCAUCUGCCUAUUUGGAGCAACAUUGUCGUGAUCUCCGAUUUGUAUUUCAGUGCUUUCGAGACAAUCAGCUAGCUACUAACGUCAAAAAAUGUGAGUUUGGUAAGCCUGAAAUUACAUUUCCUGGUCACCCCGUCACACCCAACGGAAUUCGUCAUUCUCCCGAAAAGGUUGCAGUGCUAAAAGGCUAUCCGAAGCCGCUCAACUCACAAGAACUUAAAAGAUUCAUUGGUAUGAUGAACUUUUACAGAAAGUUUUUGCCGCACACCAUCGCGUACCAAGAAGUUUUGCAAGACAUGAUUACAGGUAAUAAAACGAAGUACAAAACACCAUUAGUGUGGUCUUCAAAUACCGAGAGUGCUUUUGAACGUUGUAAAACUGAGUUGUGCAACGUUACAUUGCUUGCUCAUUCUGUUCCCGGCGCGGGCAACAUGUCACUAUUAGCUUUCUCUUCAAAAAAGUUAACAGUAGAAGUAUUCGACGUACGACAGAGAGUUAACCGCCAUCUACCAAGCCGUCUGCCAUUUUCGUUAUCAAAUUGAAGGACGCCCUUGCUACAUUGUAACAAAUAUUCGCCUAUCAACAAAAAAAUGGAAAAAGCAUCACCAAGCAGACUAAGGCAACUUGAUUUCAUUAGUCAGUUUACCACUGACAUACGUCACAUACCUGACAAAGACAACUCAACAGCUGAUGCCCUGUCAAAAAUUCAAGCUGUGCAUACCGAUUCCGUGCAAGCGAUCGUAAAUUUUAAGGAUCUCGUAGAAGAAUAACAACAUCACAGCGAACUGCAGGAUAUUUUAAAACCACAAGGUACGUCUAAUAAUUCACUAGUACUAAAGUAUUUGGAUAUAUUAGGCUGUGAUGAACAAAUUGUGUGUGAUACGUCCACGUCACGAAUACGGCCAUACAUCACAAAAGUUUUUCAAAAGCAAAUAAUAAACUCGUUACACAACCCAGUUCAUCCUGGAAUACGUGCUACGAUACUAUUAGUAACGUGAAGGUUUGUUUGAGUUGGUAUGAAAGAGGAUAUUGCAAACUUCCUCAAAACAUGCCUCCCAUGCCAGCGAGCGAAAAUACAGCGACACUCAGUAUCAACGCCUGACAAGUACGACCCGCCGACCGAGAGAUUUUCACACAUCAACAUCGAUAUCGUUGGGCCUUUUCCAUUUUGUGAAGGGCAGCGGUAUUGUUUGACAAUAAUCAACAGGUUUACUCGAUGGCCUGAAGCCGUGCCAUUACCCGACAUGUAUGCUGAACUGGUAGUCAGAGGACUGGUUACGCACUGGAUUUCCAGAUUUGGAGUGCUACAGCGAAUCACAUCCGACAGAGGUCGACAGUUCCAGUUAUCAGUUUUUACGGAAUUAUUGCAAAUGAUUGGAGCUACACACUUAAAGACAACGCCGUACCACCCUCAAGCCCACGGCCUGAUAGAGAGGUGACACAGAACUUUUUAAGCUGCCAUCUUAUGUAUCGAUUCAUCAAAAUGGGUUCAUCAUCUCCCAACGAUUCUACUUGGCCUUCGUGUGAUGUACAAAUCAGACAUAAAAGCGUUAAGGUUCCCAGGAGAAUUUUUCUUAAAAAUCAAAUCUACAAGCACUAGCGAUGUAGUAGCUGAUUUUCGCAACGCCAUGAGAAAUAUUCAAUCUAUGCAAACUGCACACCACUCUGCAAAGUCAACAUUUGUUUCUAGAGACUUCUAGUCAACAACACACGUUUUUGUUCGAAACGACUCAAUCCGUCCUACUCUGACUCAUCCCUACGAUGUCCCGUAUUUCGUUUUAAAACGAUUCCCGAGGUUCUUCACAAUUGUAAUACGGGGUCGAAAAACAAAAGUCAGCAUCGAUCGUUUAAAGCCCCUUUUUCUGCCAGCGUCAGAAUCUUCUAGCUCAACCGAGCAAACAGCAACUAUACCUUUGACAAAUGAUCCCGUGCCUAGCACUUCAAACAUUUUUGAAGAAGCUUCUACUGCUGAUUCAACUUUCAGCUCUCCGAUUCCAGAUUGUUCUUCCGGUGCCACAUAUUCGUCUGAUACAUCACUCACUCAGUCACCUCAGUAUAUCAUCAAAGCUACAACUUGUGGAAGACGCAUCAAGCUCCCGGUAGCUCCCUUUUCUAGCGAGGGGAGUGAUGUGGCAACCUUCAAUCACAAUUUACUGGUUAUAGAAUUUUCUCCUUUUCCUGUCGGCAGCGCUGCAGUGCACACCAUAUUUCUCAUCUACGCAUUUCUAAAUUAAGUUUGUUAAUUUAAGUUUAAGGUUAAUUUAAUAAAAAUGUUUUAAUUCAAUGGUAAUUAAAAUCCGUGUUAGCCUUGUUUUAUUGGGUAAUAAAGUAAACGAAUAGAAAUACCCAAAUAUAUCUGGUGGCUCGUUUAUCAAUCGUGGCUCGAAUGGACCAAAUGUUACUAUUAGAGUGAAUCCGGCUCGAAACGAUCAAAUGUUAAUACGAUCCGAUAAAGGGGAGAAAAAAUAAUACAACACUAUCCCUUUAGUUUCUUACUCAAUUAAAUAUAUGAUUCUUUAUUAAGGUUCCAAUCAAUAGGUUACGAAAUUUUACCUCAAUAAUUACAAAGGAACGUGUAAUGUUACAAUAUUGAGCACGAACACUCAAUCAAUAACCAAAACGGAAUCAUCAAGACAGACUGAAGUUUUUGGACAUCACGGACUUAGGCACAAUGGAUAUUUCAACGGGGUUUGGUGUUGGAUGGACACAUCACAGGCAGGACUAAAUUUGCUGCCGUUCCAGUUGUCAGUUCACUUGACUUGGACUAAACCUUGCCUUGGAAACAAUUAAUUCCGCCAAGGAAUUCAGGAUAAAUUUUUGGCUGACCUCCACCGUUCAUAGAAUCGGAGGGGUCAGAGAUGGUUUUAACGGUUGGUGUAAAUUUUGGCGUUGCCUAAACAAUAUA